AGUCGUAACAAGGUAGCCGUAGGGGAACCUGCGGCUGGAUCACCUCCUUAAUCGACGACUCAGCUGCGCCAUAAGCACCCACACGAAUUGCUUGAUUCAUUGAAGAAGACGAUUAGAAGCAGCUUUAAGCUCCAAGCUGAUAGCUCAACGCUAGCGGCUACAAGCUCGAAAUUGGGUCUGUAGCUCAGUUGGUUAGAGCGCACCCCUGAUAAGGGUGAGGUCGGCAGUUCGAAUCUGCCCAGACCCACCAAUUUUGUGUGGGAAACGCCUGUAGAAAUACGGGGCCAUAGCUCAGCUGGGAGAGCGCCUGCCUUGCACGCAGGAGGUCAGCGGUUCGAUCCCGCUUGGCUCCACCACUUACUGCUUCUGUUUGAAAGCUUAGAAAUGAGCAUUCCAUUGAUCCUGAUGAUCAGUGCAUGAAUGUUGAUUUCUAGUCUUUGAUUAGAUCGUUCUUUAAAAAUUUGGGUAUGUGAUAGAAAGAAAUAGACCGGGCACCUCUUUCACUGGUGUGUGUCCGGGCUAAGGUAAAGUUUGUGAAUGCAAACUUUCGGCGAAUGUCGUCUUCACAGUAUAACCAGAUUGCUUGGGGUUAUAUGGUCAAGUGAAGAAGCGCAUACGGUGGAUGCCUUGGCAC
This 634-nucleotide unclassified non-coding RNA is filed under the name Curtobacterium pusillum. RNAcentral's name for it is "partial 16S-23S ribosomal RNA intergenic spacer". The stretch from base 174 to 247 matches the Rfam family "tRNA". The record is from RNAcentral. Lineage: Bacteria; Bacillati; Actinomycetota; Actinomycetes; Micrococcales; Microbacteriaceae.